RNAcentral lists this unclassified non-coding RNA (248 nucleotides) under Hevea brasiliensis (rubber tree). Lineage: Eukaryota; Viridiplantae; Streptophyta; Magnoliopsida; Malpighiales; Euphorbiaceae. The record is from RNAcentral.
AUCCGUCAAAGACGGGUUCAAAUGGAGGGGAAGAGGAGGCCGCGCGGGAUUGGGGGCUGGGGUACUUCGGCGGGCCGCCGAAGACGUCGUCGUAUCCAGGUGAGGGGCGGUCCCCUGAGAUCCCGCCUCCGAAGACGGAAUCACCCCCAGACCGGUCCGAUCUCGGCCGCGCCGGGACGAAGGAUCUAGAAGCGCCUCCGGUACCUGUCUUGGCGGCGGACAUGGGGGCCGAUUUGCCCUGCGGGCGG